Molecule: ribosomal RNA, 234 nt
Filed under: uncultured bacterium
Lineage: Bacteria
Description: partial 16S ribosomal RNA
Rfam family: Bacterial small subunit ribosomal RNA
Source: RNAcentral
CGGGACGGGUGAGUAAUGUCUGGGAAACUGCCUGAGGGAGGGGGAUAACUACUGGGAAACGGUAGCUAAUACCGCAUAACGUCGCAAGACCAAAGAGGGGGACCUUAGGGCCUCUUGCCAUCGGAUGUGCCCAGAUGGGAUUAGCUAGUAGGCGGGGUAACGGCUCACCUAGGCGACGAUCCCUAGCUGGUCUGAGAGGAUGACCAGCCACACUGGAACUGAGACACGGUCCAG